This 105-nucleotide small nuclear RNA is filed under the name Canis lupus familiaris (dog). Lineage: Eukaryota; Metazoa; Chordata; Mammalia; Carnivora; Canidae. The record is from RNAcentral.
GGCCUCACUUUGGAGCUCAUACACUAAAAUUAGAAUGAUACAGAGGAUAUUAGCAUGGCCCAUGUGUAAGAAGACAUGAAAAUUCCUGAAGCAGUACAUAAUCAU